AGUCGAGCGGAAACGAGUUAUCUGAACCUUCGGGGAACGAUAACGGCGUCGAGCGGCGGACGGGUGAGUAAUGCCUGGGAAAUUGCCCUGAUGUGGGGGAUAACUAUUGGAAACGAUAGCUAAUACCGCAUAACGUCUACGGACCAAAGAGGGGGACCUUCGGGCCUCUCGCUUCAGGAUAUGCCCAGGUGGGAUUAGCUAGUUGGUGAGGUAAUGGCUCACCAAGGCGACGAUCCCUAGCUGGUCUGAGAGGAUGAUCAGCCACACUGGAACUGAGACACGGUCCAGACUCCUACGGGAGGCAGCAGUGGGGAAUAUUGCACAAUGGGCGCAAGCCUGAUGCAGCCAUGCCGCGUGUAUGAAGAAGGCCUUCGGGUUGUAAAGUACUUUCAGUCGUGAGGA
Molecule: ribosomal RNA, 402 nt
Filed under: Vibrio sp. con21
Lineage: Bacteria; Pseudomonadati; Pseudomonadota; Gammaproteobacteria; Vibrionales; Vibrionaceae
Description: bacterial SSU rRNA
Rfam family: Bacterial small subunit ribosomal RNA
Source: RNAcentral